GCGUCGAUAGUGUAGAGGUUAUCAUGUGAGCCUUCCAAGCUUGAGAUCCGGGUUCGAUUCCCGGUCGACGCACAA
This 75-nucleotide transfer RNA is filed under the name Tritrichomonas foetus. RNAcentral describes it as "tRNA-Gly". It matches the Rfam family "tRNA". From Rfam's summary of the family: Transfer RNA (tRNA) molecules are approximately 80 nucleotides in length. Their secondary structure includes four short double-helical elements and three loops (D, anti-codon, and T loops). The record is from RNAcentral. Lineage: Eukaryota; Parabasalia; Tritrichomonadida; Tritrichomonadidae.